RNAcentral lists this ribosomal RNA (1922 nucleotides) under human gut metagenome. RNAcentral's name for it is "bacterial LSU rRNA". It matches the Rfam family "Bacterial large subunit ribosomal RNA", at positions 3 to 1973 of the family's 2925-position model. The record is from RNAcentral.
UCAAGCGACUAAGUGUAUGUGGUGGAUGCCUUGGCGAUUACAGGCGAUGAAGGACGUCGCAGCCUGCGAAAAGCCGUGGGGAGCUGGCAAGCGAGCACUGAUCCACGGAUGUCCGAAUGAGGGAACUCACCCGCAAGGGUAUCUUGAAGUGAAUACAUAGCUUCAAGAGGCGAACGCAGCGAACUGAAACAUCUAAGUAGCUGCAGGAAAAGAAAUCAACCGAGAUUCUGAAAGUAGCGGCGAGCGAAAUUGGAAGAGCCUGCAAGUGAUAUUGAAUUCGAUACUGGAACGGUCUGGAAAGUCCGGCUACAGAGGGUGAUAGCCCCGUACGGGAAAUUGGGUUCAAAGUACUGAGCUUGCGAGAAGUAGAGCGGGACACGUGAAAUCCUGCUCGAAGAUGGGGGGACCAUCCUCCAAGGCUAAAUACUCGUAAUCGACCGAUAGCGAACCAGUACUGUGAAGGAAAGGCGAAAAGAACCCCGGGAGGGGAGUGAAAUAGAUCCUGAAACCGCAUACAUACAAACAGUAGGAGCCCGCAAGGGUGACUGCGUACCUUUUGCAUAAUGGGUCAGCGACUUACGUUCAAUGGCAAGCUUAACCGAGUAGGGGAGGCGCAGCGAAAGCGAGUCCGAACAGGGCGACAUGAGUCGUUGGGCGUAGACCCGAAACCAGAUGAUCUAUCCAUGGCCAGGCUGAAGGUGUGGUAACACACACUGGAGGGCCGAACCGACUAGUGUUGCAAAAUUAGCGGAUGAGCUGUGGAUAGGGGUGAAAGGCUAAACAAAUCUGGAGAUAGCUGGUUCUCCCCGAAAACUAUUGAGGUAGUGCCUCGUGUAUGGCUCCAGGGGGUAGAGCACUGUUAUGGCUAGGGGGACAUGGCGUCUUACCAAACCAUGGCAAACUCCGAAUACUUGGAAGUCUGAGCACGGGAGACAGAGCACCGGGUGCUAACGUCCGGACUCAAAAGGGAAACAACCCAGACCGCCGGCUAAGGUCCCUAAUAUUGACUAAGUGGAAAACGAAGUGGGAAGGCUAAGACAGUCAGGAAGUUGGCUUAGAAGCAGCCAUCCUUCAAAGAAAGCGUAAUAGCUCACUGAUCGAGUCUUCCUGCGCGGAAGAUGUAACGGGGCUAAGUCAAUAACCGAAGCCGCGGAUUCGCAGCAAUGCGAGUGGUAGGGGAGCGUUCUGUAAGCCUGCGAAGGCGGAUCCGCGAGGACCGCUGGAGGUAUCAGAAGUGCGAAUGCUGACAUGAGUAACGUUAAAGCGGGUGAAAAGCCCGCUCGCCGCAAGCCCAAGGUUUCCUGCUCUACGUUCAUCGGAGCAGGGUGAGUCGGCCCCUAAGGUCAGGCUGAGAAGCGUAGCUGAUGGGAAGCUGGUUAAUAUUCCAGCACCGAUUUCAAGUGCGAAGGGGGGACGGAGUCCUGAAGGUCAUCCGGGUGUUGGAUAUCCCGGUUUACGAGCGUAGGAGGUUGACAGGCAAAUCCGUCAACGGAUCUCCAAGGCGAAGGAUCGAGGUUGAGAGAUCAACUGAAGUGACUGAAUGGGCUUCCAGGAAAAGCCUCUAAGCAUCAGCUUGGAAUUGACCGUACCGCAAACCGACACUGGUGGGCGAGCUGAAUAUGCUCAGGCGCUUGAGAGAACUCAGGAGAAGGAACUCGGCAAAUUGACACCGUAACUUCGGGAUAAGGUGUGCCUUUGUAGUGUGAAGGGAGAAACACCCCGAGCAUGAAGAGGCCUCAGAGAAUCGGUGGCUGCAACUGUUUACUAAAAACACAGCACUCUGCAAAGAUGAAAGUCGACGUAUAGGGUGUGAUGCCUGCCCGGUGCUGGAAGAUUAAUUGAUGGGGUGCAAGCUCCUGAUCGAAGUCCCAGUAAACGGCGGCCGUAACUAUAACGGUCCUAAGGUAGCGAAAUUCCUUGUC